CAGUAGCCGCGGGAAAACGGAGGGUGCAAGCGUUAAUCGGAAUUACUGGGCGUAAAGCGCACGCAGGCGGUUUGUUAAGUCAGAUGUGAAAUCCCCGGGCUCAACCUGGGAACUGCAUUUGAAACUGGCAAGCUAGAGUCUCGUAGAGGGGGGUAGAAUUCCAGGUGUAGCGGUGAAAUGCGUAGAGAUCUGGAGGAAUACCGGUGGCGAAGGCGGCCCCCUGGACGAAGACUGACGCUCAGGUGCGAAAGCGUGGGGAGCAAACAGGAUUAGAUACCCGAGUAGUCCCUGUCUCUUAUAC
RNAcentral lists this ribosomal RNA (301 nucleotides) under uncultured bacterium. Its description in RNAcentral is "partial 16S ribosomal RNA". It matches the Rfam family "Bacterial small subunit ribosomal RNA", at positions 509 to 807 of the family's 1533-position model. The record is from RNAcentral.